CCAGUUCAGCUCCAGUCUCCGCCACCCUUCUGCUCUCAGUAGGUCACAGCUCUCCCGGCUCCUCACGACAGCUCACCUCCAGAACGGGCACCAGGAAUCGCGCAACCAGCUCGGUCUCUUCAUCACAGGAAGGUAGGUUUUUGGGAUCAGCUACUAGCCAGCAUGUAGAGCUGAUCCCAGACGAGCCCCCAAGAAUCUGUUACACGUACCGGCUGGCACUGAGUAAACAGAUGCUGAUUCUGCAAACAGGUGAAAUAAGUGAGACAGGGCAACUUCACUUCCGACCAUUUCAGCCUCGCUCAGCAGAAUGAGGGAAACGGACCGUGAUGCCGUAAAAGCUGUAAAGCGACUGCUGUAAACACCGCGUUAAGAGUGAAACUCCAUUGAGAAAAACAGGAAUUUUAGAACACAGGAGCUGCUGGAACUCACUUGUACUACCAGUCCCAGAUUAAUUCUGCAGCAGGACAAUGAGUCCAAACACACAAUCAGCAUGAUGAAGAUCUAUCCUCAGAGACAAGAAGAACAAGGAGUCCUGCAGUAGAUGGUCUGACCCCCACACACAGAGCCCUGAUCUCAACAUCAUGGAGUCAGUCUGGGAUUACAUGAAGAGACAGAAGACACUGAGACAGCCUGAAUCCACAGAGGAACUGAGGCAACUUCUCCAAGAUGCUGGAACAAAUUACCUGAGUACAGGUGACUUGGAGAGCCAACACAGAAGAAGAGGCCAGUAUCCUGGGAAGGUGGACAGGAGAUCAGAUGUGUGAUGGUACAAAACGUCCGUCACAAGCUCGUUCCAGAAAUGAAGAGACAAAGGAGGCUCUGGAGCCUCAGAGAGAAGGUUAAGGUUAAGGUCAAGGUUUGUAACUGCACCCACACAUGCACACACAAAUAUACAGCACAUACCCUUCAUGGGCAGCAUUGUGGCUCUGUGAUUAGCAUUGCAGCCCCACAGAAAGAAGAUGUUGACAUCUUCUUGAUGUCUCAAGUCUUUUUUCUGUGUGGAGUUAACAUGUUCUCCUCGUGCUUGCGUGGGUUUUCUCCGGGCACUCCGGUUUCCUCCCACACUAAAAAAAACAUGAAACCAGUUAUACCACACCCUUGGUUUGAUGGUUGUUUGGUUGGUUGGUGUAGAUUUUCUGUGUUUUAAUCUGUGGCAAAUUUCCACGUAACACAUUAUAUCAUGACUAACAGAGCUCCUUUUCAAAAACAAAUACUGUGACACUUAUGGAGACAAAGGAAAAGACAAGAAGUCAGCCUGUCAAUAGAGCUCUCAUACAAAGUUCAACAUACAUAUUCAAAUGGAAAAUGUGUUACUGUAUAUGUUAAAAUAUGUAUUAAAUGUAUGACAAAAGAGACCAUGCAUGGCAGCAAACAAGGCAAGGAUAUAACCUGUGAAACAGAUACAAUGAAGAAGAAUCACCCAUUUACAGAAAUACAUGUUUUGAGUCUUUUAAACUUAUGUUAUAGACUUUUAGAAAAUUCCCUCAUAUUAUUAGAACACAAACUGAAAAAUAGGGUGAUGUAAAGAAAAGUUUGUCUUUUUGUUUGCCAAGGACAUAGUUAGCAUUUUAAAUUAGUCCAACAUUUUUAAAUGUAUGGGAGUUAUUACCAGUGCUUUGCCUAACUCACUAAGAAAGAGUCCUCUCCUCUGGAGCUUUCCGUGGUGCCAACUUGUGUUUGAUGUAGAUCGCAAAUGCAUCAUAUGCUAAACAUCCCAUAUGUUCUAAAAGUAGUCAGCAGCUUGUUUUGCUUGCACAAUGAUGAACUACAGAAGAAAUAACUGAAAUAUUUCAUUCAGGAUAUUUGAUAUCCUUACCACCUGCAUAAGCAGUAUUUUUGUUCAUUUUCUCAAAUGACAAGAUUGUUAUGUUGCUAUGGAGACUUUUAAAAAAUCAAACCACAGAAAAAACUAUGUAAAAUGUCAAAAACUAUCAAUACUGGACCUUUGAAAAGGCAAAACAGUGCUGGACUGUUUCUCUAAAAACAUUGCUGGGUUGCUGAACAGCUGGUUGGGUUAUUUUUGACCCAGGUUUAUUCAUUUUCCUGCUCAUCCAGUGCCAGAACUUCCUGCAUCCAUCUCUUUAUGGCAGGGAAGAUGAAGAUUGUAUAGUUAAUAUGAAUUCAUGGUAACACUUUAUAUUAGUCUACACUUAUUCACCAUCAACUAUUUGCUUAUUUGCAUGCACACUGGCUCCUUAUUAGUCAUUAUUAAGGAGUCAGUAAUAAAAAACUCUGCAUGAUCAUAUGCAUCACAUAUUUCUCUCAAUAACCUCCUAAUACUGCUUACUGAUAAUAGGUAAGGAAGUUAUCUUAUAAGGUAGUAGUAAGACCAGAAAAGUAAUUCUCUCUAGUAUUAAUAAGGAGUUACUGUUACUGCUACCUUAUAAGGUCCAUACUGAGCAAAGCAUAUUAAGGUCAUAAUUCAUGUACAACUUACUUAAUUACAAUCAGUGAGCAGUAAUUAGGAGGUUACUGAGGGAAAACUCUUAGUAUAUUAUAUACAUAUUCUACAGCUACUAGUUCAUUAACUAAGUGCUUUACAAUUUACAAGUGCCAA
Lates calcarifer (barramundi perch) is the source of this 2557-nucleotide long non-coding RNA. RefSeq lists it as uncharacterized. Lineage: Eukaryota; Metazoa; Chordata; Actinopteri; Centropomidae. The transcript has 5 exons. The record is from RefSeq and is a predicted model, not a curated record.